GAUGAAGAACGUAGCGAAAUGCGAUACGUAGUGUGAAUUGCAGAAUUCAGUGAAUCAUCGAAUCUUUGAACGCACAUUGCACCUCUCUGUAUUCCGGGAGGUAUGCCUGUUCGAGCGUCAUUUGUACCCUCAAGCUCUGCUUGGUGUUGGGUGUUUGUUCCGCCUCUGUGUGUGAACUCGCCUCAAAACAAUUGGCAGCCGGCGUACUUGUUUCGGAGCGCAGCACAUUUUGCGAUCCAGAUCAACGUACAGCGGCAUCCAAGAAGCCUUAUUUAACGCUCUUGACCUCGGAUCAGGUAGGGAUACCCGCUGAACUUAAGCAUAUCAAUAAGCGGAGGA
Molecule: unclassified non-coding RNA, 339 nt
Filed under: soil metagenome
Description: partial contains 5.8S ribosomal RNA, internal transcribed spacer 2, and large subunit ribosomal RNA
Rfam family: 5.8S ribosomal RNA (bases 1-120)
Source: RNAcentral